RNAcentral lists this ribosomal RNA (135 nucleotides) under uncultured bacterium. RNAcentral describes it as "partial 16S rRNA". It matches the Rfam family "Bacterial small subunit ribosomal RNA", at positions 355 to 507 of the family's 1533-position model. The record is from RNAcentral.
UAGGGAAUCUUGCGCAAUGGGCGAAAGCCUGACGCAGCCAUGCCGCGUGUAUGAUGAAGGUCUUAGGAUUGUAAAGCUCUUUUGUGCGGGAAGAUAAUGACGGUACCGCAAGAAUAAGCCCCGGCUAACUUCGUG